AACGAACGCUGGCGGCAGGCCUAACACAUGCAAGUCGAACGCCCUAGCAAUAGGGAGUGGCGCACGGGUGCGUAACGCGUGGGAAUAUGCCCUUCACUGCGGAAUAACGUUUGGAAACGAACGCUAAUACCGCAUAAUGACUCCGGUCCAAAGAUUUAUCGGUGAAGGAUUAGCCCGCGUUAGAUUAGCUAGUUGGUGAGGUAAUGGCUCACCAAGGCGACGAUCUAUAGCUGGUCUGAGAGGAUGAUCAGCCACACUGGGACUGAGACACGGCCCAGACUCCUACGGGAGGCAGCAGUGAGGAAUAUUGGACAAUGGGCGCAAGCCUGAUCCAGCCAUGCCGCGUGAGUGAAGAAGGCCUU
This 362-nucleotide ribosomal RNA is filed under the name uncultured bacterium. RNAcentral's name for it is "bacterial SSU rRNA". It matches the Rfam family "Bacterial small subunit ribosomal RNA", at positions 29 to 418 of the family's 1533-position model. The record is from RNAcentral.